UGGGGAAUUUUGGACAAUGGGCGAAAGCCUGAUCCAGCAAUGCCGCGUGUGUGAAGAAGGCCUUCGGGUUGUAAAGCACUUUUGUCCGGAAAGAAAUCCUUGGCUCUAAUACAGUCGGGGGAUGACGGUACCGGAAGAAUAAGCACCGGCUAACUACGUGCCAGCAGCCGCGGUAAUACGUAGGGUGCAAGCGUUAAUCGGAAUUACUGGGCGUAAAGCGUGCGCAGGCGGUUUGCUAAGACCGAUGUGAAAUCCCCGGGCUCAACCUGGGAACUGCAUUGGUGACUGGCAGGCUAGAGUAUGGCAGAGGGGGGUAGAAUUCCACGUGUAGCAGUGAAAUGCGUAGAGAUGUGGAGGAAUACCGAUGGCGAAGGCAGCCCCCUGGGCCAAUACUGACGCUCAUGCACGAAAGCGUGGGGAGCAAAUAGGAUUAGAUACCCUGGUAGUCCACGCCCUAAACGAUGUCAACUAGUUGUUGGGGAUUCAUUUUCCUUAGUAACGUAGCUAACGCGUGAAGUUGACCGCCUGGGGAGUACGGUCGCAAGAUU
This 548-nucleotide ribosomal RNA is filed under the name uncultured bacterium. RNAcentral's name for it is "partial 16S ribosomal RNA". It matches the Rfam family "Bacterial small subunit ribosomal RNA", at positions 355 to 895 of the family's 1533-position model. The record is from RNAcentral.